This 394-nucleotide ribosomal RNA is filed under the name uncultured bacterium. RNAcentral describes it as "partial 16S ribosomal RNA". It matches the Rfam family "Bacterial small subunit ribosomal RNA", at positions 523 to 918 of the family's 1533-position model. The record is from RNAcentral.
AUACGUAGGGGGCGAGCGUUAUCCGGAAUUAUUGGGCGUAAAGAGUACGUAGGCGGUUCUGUAAGCGUGAGGUGAAAGCCCGGGGCUUAACUCCGGUAAGCCUUUCGAACUGCAGGACUUGAGGGCUGGAGGGGAAAGUGGAAUUCCUAGUGUAGCGGUGAAAUGCGUAGAUAUUAGGAGGAACACCAGUGGCGAAGGCGACUUUCUGGACAGUAACUGACGCUGAGGUACGAAAGCGUGGGGAGCAAACAGGAUUAGAUACCCUGGUAGUCCACGCUGUAAACGAUGAGCACUAGGUGUCGGGCUAGCAAUAGUUCGGUGCCGCAGUUAACGCAAUAAGUGCUCCGCCUGGGGAGUACGCACGCAAGUGUGAAACUCAAAUGAAUUGGCGGGG